AGACCAUGAUGAGGAUAUUCUACAAGAAGAUCUUUAAAUCGUUCCAUACAUCGAGAGAAUGAUUCAUUAGGUCACUGGCAAAACUGGAGAAUGUCGUUCCUAAGUUU
Molecule: small nucleolar RNA, 107 nt
Filed under: Cephalotus follicularis
Lineage: Eukaryota; Viridiplantae; Streptophyta; Magnoliopsida; Oxalidales; Cephalotaceae
Description: Plant small nucleolar RNA R71
Rfam family: Plant small nucleolar RNA R71
About the family: R71 is a member of the C/D box family of snoRNAs containing the C (UGAUGA) and D (CUGA) box motifs. Multiple nearly identical copies of this snoRNA have been identified in Arabidopsis, and it is thought to function as a 2'-O-ribose methylation guide for 18S ribosomal RNA.
Source: Rfam by way of RNAcentral